UACAUGGGGUGCAACCGUUACUCGGAAUUAUUGGGCGUAAAGCGCACGUAGGUGGUCUGUUAUGUCGGAUGUGAAAGCCCUCGGCUCAACUGAGGAAGUGCAUCCGAAACUGGCAGGCUUGAGUAUGUAAGAGGGUCGCGGAAUUCCCGGUGUAGAGGUGAAAUUCGUAGAUAUCGGGAGGAACACCGGUGGCGAAGGCGGCGACCUGGGACAAUACUGACACUGAGGUGCGAAAGCGUGGGGAGCAAACAGG
This 253-nucleotide ribosomal RNA is filed under the name uncultured bacterium. RNAcentral describes it as "partial 16S ribosomal RNA". It matches the Rfam family "Bacterial small subunit ribosomal RNA", at positions 524 to 776 of the family's 1533-position model. The record is from RNAcentral.